Molecule: ribosomal RNA, 495 nt
Filed under: uncultured bacterium
Lineage: Bacteria
Description: partial 16S ribosomal RNA
Rfam family: Bacterial small subunit ribosomal RNA
Source: RNAcentral
UGAACGCUGGCGGCGUGCCUAAUACAUGCACGUCGAGCGAACAGACGAGGAGCUUGCUCCUCUGACGUUAGCGGCGGACGGGUGAGUAACACGUGGAUAACCUACCUAUAAGACUGGGAUAACUUCGGGAAACCGGAGCUAAUACCGGAUAAUAUAUUGAACCGCAUGGUUCAAUAGUGAAAGACGGUUUUGCUGUCACUUAUAGAUGGAUCCGCGCCGCAUUAGCUAGUUGGUAAGGUAGCGGCUUACCAAGGCGACGAUGCGUAGCCGACCUGAGAGGGUGAUCGGCCACACUGGAACUGAGACACGGUCCAGACUCCUACGGGAGGCAGCAGUAGGGAAUCUUCCGCAAUGGGCGAAAGCCUGACGGAGCAACGCCGCGUGAGUGAUGAAGGUCUUCGGAUCGUAAAACUCUGUUAUUAGGGAAGAACAAAUGUGUAAGUAACUAUGCACGUCUUGACGGUACCUAAUCAGAAAGCCACGGCUAACUACGUG